AUACUGGUCAUUCAGUGGUAGAAUUCUUGCCUUUCAUGCAGGAGGUCUGGAUUUAAGUCCCAGCCAAUGUG
RNAcentral lists this transfer RNA (71 nucleotides) under Lepisosteus oculatus (spotted gar). It matches the Rfam family "tRNA". From Rfam's summary of the family: Transfer RNA (tRNA) molecules are approximately 80 nucleotides in length. Their secondary structure includes four short double-helical elements and three loops (D, anti-codon, and T loops). Lineage: Eukaryota; Metazoa; Chordata; Actinopteri; Semionotiformes; Lepisosteidae. The record is from Rfam by way of RNAcentral.